This 148-nucleotide non-coding RNA is filed under the name Pan paniscus (pygmy chimpanzee). Lineage: Eukaryota; Metazoa; Chordata; Mammalia; Primates; Hominidae. RNAcentral also lists the same sequence under 1 other name. The record is from Rfam by way of RNAcentral.
GCCGGGUGUGCUGCUGCGCACCUGUAAUCCCAGCUCCUCAGGAGGCUGAGGCAGGAGACUCGCUUGAACUCGGGAGGCAGAGGUUGCAGUGAGCUGAGAUUGCACCACUGCACUCCAGCCUGGGUGACAGAGUGAGACUCUGUCUCAA